Molecule: ribosomal RNA, 468 nt
Filed under: uncultured bacterium
Lineage: Bacteria
Description: bacterial SSU rRNA
Rfam family: Bacterial small subunit ribosomal RNA
Source: RNAcentral
AAUCAACGCUGGCGGCGUGCCUCAGACAUGCAAGUCGAACGAUUAAAGCUCUCUUCGGAGAGUGUAUAGAGUGGCGCACGGGUGAGUAACACGUAAGUAAUCUACCUUUGAGUGGGGAAUAACCCGGGGAAACCCGAGCUAAUACCGCAUAAUGCAGCGGCACCGCAAGGUGACAGUUGUUAAAGGAGCAAUCCGCUUAAAGAGGAGCUUGCGGCAGAUUAGCUAGUGGUAAGGUAAUGGCUUACCAAGGCUUCGAUCUGUAUCCGGCCUGAGAGGGCGGUCGGACACACUGACACUGAAUAACGGGUCAGACUCCUACGGGAGGCGGCAGUCGGGAAUUUUGGGCAAUGGGCGAAAGCCUGACCCAGCAACGCCGCGUGAAGGAUGAAGUAUUUCGGUAUGUAAACUUCGAAAGAAUGGGAAGAAUCAAUGACGGUACCAUUUAUAAGGUCCGGCUAACUACGUGCC